Tinamus guttatus (white-throated tinamou) is the source of this 151-nucleotide non-coding RNA. The record is from RefSeq and is a predicted model, not a curated record. NCBI's taxonomy places the organism in Eukaryota, Metazoa, Chordata, Aves, Tinamiformes, Tinamidae.
CCAGCCCCUGAGCCCCAGCCCAUCGAGCCCCGCAGGAGAGUGUCUAAGCCCUUCAUGAAGAAGAAUGACCCCAAGAAUGAGGCUCUGGCCAAGCUGGGGAUGAUGAAUCUUCAGUCUCCCAAGUCGCCACCCCCUGGGCCACCAGAGAAGA